RNAcentral lists this microRNA precursor (104 nucleotides) under Marmota monax (woodchuck). The record is from RNAcentral. Lineage: Eukaryota; Metazoa; Chordata; Mammalia; Rodentia; Sciuridae.
AAUUCAGUUGCUGGGUAAUAGAGUAAGUGUGUACUUUAACUUUAUAAGAAAGUGCCAAACUGUUUUUGAAAGGAGUUGUGCCAUUUUUCAUUCUCACUAGAAAU